Molecule: long non-coding RNA, 735 nt
Organism: Lethenteron reissneri (Far Eastern brook lamprey)
Lineage: Eukaryota; Metazoa; Chordata; Hyperoartia; Petromyzontiformes; Petromyzontidae
Source: RefSeq, a predicted model, not a curated record
UGUACACGUGUGUACACACUGUCCAUGUGUGUGUGUACACACACAAUAAUGUCCACAUUGUUGAGCUGAGCUCACACACCCAAGGGGUCUCUGUUCAAGGGAGGGAGCAAUGGAAAAUUAAUCUUAAUCAACUUAAACUCUAAUCCCGCUACGUGACGUCACCACUCAGCAUGACCUCAUCGGCGUGAAACGCCAGGGGGAGGUGUACCUUGCUAGUGACGUCAUGUCACCAAAGUAUUCACCCCAACCCGUCUCAAGGGAGCGUGACGUCACCUCUGCCUGGGUCACUUCCGUUAUCUGUUCAAGCACUAUCCUUAUUUGGGCAAAGCCACGCCCACUGACUGGCGGCUCAUUAACAUAAAUUAUUCGUGAAAGACGUCACGAGUUCGUUGUGACCGGUUCGGCACCCACGGCCCAUCCCUCCACGAGUGGGCCAGGCUCAUUAACAUAAUUUAUGUAAGUUACAGAGCCGCUCAUUGUGGGAGGGGAGUGUCUUGUACCCCACAAGUGACGUCAUGUCACCUGCUGCUGCCGCGUGACGUCACGAGGUAACGGAAAGUUGCGGCUCCGCGCGGGAACUGAAGUCUGAGGCCACGCCCGCUUGAGCUGCUGUACCGCUCUUGUUUUCAGAAGCGACCUGCUCACAACAACAACAACAACAAGCUGUCGCUUCCUCUGCAGAAAUUGGUCUGAUGGAGCAAAGGCACUCGGCGCGGCUCGGUGCAAAAAGGCAAC